AGUGAACGCUGGCGGUAGGCCUAACACAUGCAAGUCGAACGGCAGCACAGGAGAGCUUGCUCUCUGGGUGGCGAGUGGCGGACGGGUGAGGAAUACAUCGGAAUCUACUUUUUCGUGGGGGAUAACGUAGGGACACUUACGCUAAUACCGCAUACGACCUACGGGUGAAAGCAGGGGAUCUUCGGACCUUGCGCGAUUGAAUGAGCCGAUGUCGGAUUAGCUAGUUGGCGGGGUAAAGGCCCACCAAGGCGCAGAUCCGUAGCUGGUCGGAGAGGAUGAUCAGCCACACUGGAACUGAGCCACGGUCCAGACUCCUACGGGAGGCAGCAGUGGGCAAUAUUGGGCAAUGGGCGCAAGCCUGAUCCAGCCAUACCGCGUGGGUGAAGAAGGCCUUCGGGUUGUAAAGCCCUUUUGUUGGGAAAGAAAUCCAGCUGGUUAAUACCCGGUUGGGAUGACGGUACCCAAAGAAUAAGCACCGGCUAACUUCGUGCCAGCCGCCGCAGUAA
This 506-nucleotide ribosomal RNA is filed under the name uncultured bacterium. RNAcentral's name for it is "partial 16S ribosomal RNA". It matches the Rfam family "Bacterial small subunit ribosomal RNA", at positions 29 to 523 of the family's 1533-position model. The record is from RNAcentral.